This 167-nucleotide ribosomal RNA is filed under the name uncultured bacterium. Its description in RNAcentral is "partial 16S ribosomal RNA". It matches the Rfam family "Bacterial small subunit ribosomal RNA", at positions 338 to 522 of the family's 1533-position model. The record is from RNAcentral.
CCUACGGGAGGCAGCAGUGGGGAAUAUUGCACGAUGGACGAAAGUCUGAUGCAGCAACGCCGCGUGGAGGAUGACACAUUUCGGUGCGUAAACUCCUUUUAUAUGAGAAGAUAAUGACGGUAUUAUAUGAAUAAGCACCGGCUAACUCCGUGCCAGCAGCCGCGGUA